Molecule: ribosomal RNA, 277 nt
Filed under: uncultured bacterium
Lineage: Bacteria
Description: partial 16S ribosomal RNA
Rfam family: Bacterial small subunit ribosomal RNA
Source: RNAcentral
GAUGAACGCUGGCGGCGUGCUUAACACAUGCAAGUCGAACGGAAUCUUCGGAUUUAGUGGCGGACGGGUGAGUAACGCGUGAGAAUCUGCCUUCAGGAGGGGGACAACAGUUGGAAACGGCUGCUAAUACCCCAUAUGCCGAGAGGUGAAAUGAGUUUCGCCUGAAGAUGAGCUCGCGUCUGAUUAGCUAGUUGGUAGUGUAAUGGACUACCAAGGCAUUGAUCAGUAGCUGGUCUGAGAGGAUGAUCAGCCACACUGGGACUGAGACACGGCCCAG